Molecule: ribosomal RNA, 503 nt
Filed under: uncultured bacterium
Lineage: Bacteria
Description: partial 16S ribosomal RNA
Rfam family: Bacterial small subunit ribosomal RNA
Source: RNAcentral
AUUGAACGCUGGCGGCAGGCUUAACACAUGCAAGUCGAGCGGGGUGAUGGUGCUUGCACUAUCACUUAGCGGCGGACGGGUGAGUAAUGCUUAGGAAUCUGCCUAUUAGUGGGGGACAACAUCUCGAAAGGGAUGCUAAUACCGCAUACGUCCUACGGGGGAAAGCAGGGGAUCACUUGUGACCUUGCGCUAAUAGAUGAGCCUAAGUCGGAUUAGCUAGUUGGUGGGGUAAAGGCCUACCAAGGCGACGAUCUGUAGCGGGUCUGAGAGGAUGAGCCGCCACACUGGGACUGGGACACGGCCCAGACUCCUACGGGAGGCAGCAGUGGGGAAUAUUGGACAAUGGGGGGAACCCUGAUCCAGCCAUGCCGCGUGUGUGAAGAAGGCCUUAUGGUUGUAAAGCACUUUAAGCGAGGAGGAGGCUCUUUUGGUUAAUACCCAAGAUGAGUGGACGUUACUCGCAGAAUAAGCACCGGCUAACUCUGUGCCAGCCGCCGCAGUAA